This 1348-nucleotide unclassified non-coding RNA is filed under the name Octopus sinensis (East Asian common octopus). RNAcentral's name for it is "rAD51-associated protein 1, transcript variant X1". The record is from RNAcentral. Lineage: Eukaryota; Metazoa; Mollusca; Cephalopoda; Octopoda; Octopodidae.
UUUGUCAGAGAGGAAAUGGAGGGAAAACUUAAUGUUUUGAUUUUAAGGGAAACAUCCGGACGAUUGAAGAAUAUUAGUUAUGCAUCAGCAUUUGGAAAUGAAGAUAGUGGUGAUGAAGAUUUUAGACAGACCAAGGCUCCUCCUUCUAAAAGAUCUAAACCUACUGCUGAAGAGAAAUCUAAAAAAUCUAAUUCACAAUCCAGUUCUUCUGGGGAAGGAAAAUCCAAACAAAAAAGGAAGAAAUUGGAUGACAAACUGUUUGAACGAGAACUUAAGUUGGCAAUGGAGAUGUCUAUGCAGGAAAUUGGUACCGGCUUGAAAGAAGAACCUCAGAACAAGGAUGCUAGCGAUUUUCAAGACACCCCAGUGAAGAAUUCUGCAUCAGAGCGAGUUGAGUCUUUGAAAUUAUCUCGACAUGACAUCCAUUCACCACCAAAAUCUCCUUCCCACGUGGCUCCUCCAUUAUUGCACAAAGAAAUUGAAGAAUGCAUCCCUAAGAAUUCUGUUAAACAAUCUGCCAUGCCUUCUCUUCCUCGUGCCCCAGCUAUGAGGGGUCCAUCUGAUGAAAUAGAAUAUCUAGGUACAGUUACUGAUGAAGAAGAAUCAAAAAACAGUGUCCGGCUUCGGAGAACAUCAGGUCGAACAGCGCGGAAAAAAAUUCAGAUAGAACCAGACUCCAGUGAAGACGAAGCAAAUUCUGAUUUUCAAGAAGAGGAAGAAGAAGAUGAAAGUGAUGAAGAAUUCGAAGAAGACUGUGACUAUGGCAAGAAAUCUACGAAAAGAAAUAAGAAAACAGCAAAAAAUACAAAGACAAAAAAAGAUAUAAAUAGUGUAAAUAAGAAGUCAACAACAGCAAAACGAAAACAAACUGUCAAUAAAUCUCCAUCGUCGUCCAAAAGAGGAAAUCCAGACAAUAGUAAAAGUACACCUUCGGAACCUUCAAGUUCAGUAGAGUCCCAUAAGAGUACGAACACAGAUACGACCAAAGUAGCAACUACAUCUGGGAAAUCUCAACCCUCAGUGCCUUCACUUAUUUCAGUUAAAAAGCCUUUAGUGACACAAUCUCAAAUAUGUAAUUUGAGUCCAUCCUUAUCAUCAAAGUUACCCAUUAAACAACCGAUAUGGAAUCCUCCUGGUAAAGCCACUAGCAGCACUUCCUCUCUGAAAGUCACCUCUCCGUCUGGUGGAAUCCGUAUUGGUCUUUCUCGUAACCAAAAAGUAAAAUCCCUACAUCCAACAGUGAAAGCACAGCAUUGAUGGAAUAUGUACACACAUACACAUGUGUGUGUGAAUAUAUACAUACAUACAUAUGUACACACAAACAUACACACACACACACACACACAUA